Molecule: long non-coding RNA, 881 nt
Organism: Astyanax mexicanus (Mexican tetra)
Lineage: Eukaryota; Metazoa; Chordata; Actinopteri; Characiformes; Acestrorhamphidae
Exons: 5
Source: RefSeq, a predicted model, not a curated record
CUAUCGUUUCUAAAGUGGUUGCUAAGCUGUUGCUAGGCUGUUUCUAAUGUUUUCCAGGUGGUUGCUAAGGUGUUGCUAACUGGUUGCUAGGCAGUUGCUAUAAUUUCUAAAGUGGUUGCUAGGCAGUUGCUAACGUUUUCCAGCUGGUUGCUAAGGUGUUGCCUUUGGAUAAAUAAGGGAAGUGUCAAGAUUUUGGAUGAUAAACUUUAAAAAAAAAAACACCAAAUAUUGUUUAAUUUUGUGUUACACACAAUUCAUAUAAGUAGUUAUAUUUUAUUAAUUGUAAAGCUGAAAUAACAACUCGGUAAAGAUGUUAAGGUGGUAAAUUCAAAUGUAUUAUGCUUUUAGUUCUAUGAUGUGAUGACUACAUAAUGUCACCUGUUGGUGGCAGUAAAGUAGUAAGCGUACAGUCAAACCUUAAAAACAUAAUAAAGGAGAUAGUCCACUCAUUCCUUCUGAAGUGCACUUGAUUAGUUACUGAACUUUUAAUUUUACACCCACUGAAGCACUGAACUGUUUAACUGGAAGUCUUAAACCCUAUUACUUUGUUCCUCAUUGCCUUUCAUCUGAAAUAAAAAGAAAAUUGUGUGAAAGGUAUUUUACCUAUUUUAAGAAAACACAGGGCGUAGUGAGGAGGGACCACGUAGUGAUUUGAACUGACCCAAGGACGUGCCCCAGCAGCGCGCGCGCAGAGGAACGACAUUCCUUCGACUGAGGAACCAGAAAUCUGUGAUUUUACAACACUCGCUCAAAAAGGCUUUCACAUACAGUGCUGUUGACCUUGACUUAAUUGGGCAUUGUUUCUUGCCAGCAUCCCAGCUUUCCCCAAACCCCCGAAACGAUAACUCAUUGAACUCAUUGAACUCAUUGAACUCAUUGAA